UUUUCCGGUAAGGGAUGGGGAUGCGUCUGAUUAGCUUGUUGGCGGGGCAACGGCCCACCAAGGCGACGAUCAGUAGGGGUUCUGAGAGGAAGGUCCCCCACAUUGGAACUGAGACACGGUCCAAACUCCUACGGGAGGCAGCAGUGAGGAAUAUUGGUCAAUGGACGCAAGUCUGAACCAGCCAAGUAGCGUGCAGGAUGACGGCCCUAUGGGUUGUAAACUGCUUUUAUGUGGGAAUAAAGUGGCGCACGUGUGCGCCAUUGCAUGUACCUCAUGAAUAAGGACCGGCUAAUUCCGUGCCAGCAGCCGCGGUAAUACGGAAGGUCCGGGCGUUAUCCGGAUUUAUUGGGUUUAAAGGGAGUGUAGGCGGUCUGUUAAGCGUGUUGUGAAAUUUAGGUGCUCAACAUUUAACUUGCAGCGCGAACUGUCAGACUUGAGUACACGCAGCGCAGGCGGAAUUCAUGGUGUAGCGGUGAAAUGCUUAGAUAUCAUGAGGAACUCCGAUCGCGAAGGCAGCCUGCGGGAGUGUUACUGACGCUUAAGCUCGAAGGUGCGGGUAUCGAACAGGAUUAGAUACCCUGGUAGUCCGCACUGUAAACGAUGGAUGCCCGCCGUUGGCGCCCUGCGCCUGCGGCCAAGCGAAAGCAUUAAGCAUCCCACCUGGGGAGUACGCCGGCAACGGUGAAACUCAAAGGAAUUGACGGGGGCCCGCACAAGCGGAGGAACAUGUGGUUUAAUUCGAUGAUACGCGAGGAACCUUACCCGGGCUUGAAUUGCAGUCGCUGCCCACAGAGACGUGGGCUUCCCUUCGGGGCGUCUGUGAAGGUGCUGCAUGGUUGUCGUCAGCUCGUGCCGUGAGGUGUSGGMUUAWGUGCCAUAACGAGCGCAACCCCCUUUCCCAGUUGCCAUCGGGUUAUGCCGGGCACUCUGGGGACACUGCCACCGCAAGGUGCGAGGAAGGUGGGGAUGACGUCAAAUCAGCACGGCCCUUACGUCCGGGGCUACACACGUGUUACAAUGGCCGGUACAGAGGGACGGUGCAAUGCAAGUUGCAUCCAAUCUUGAAAUCCGGUCCCAGUUCGGACUGGGGUCUGCAACCCGACCCCACGAAGCUGGAUUCGCUAGUAAUCGCGCAUCAGCCAUGGCGCGGUGAAUACGUUCCCGGGCCUU
Molecule: ribosomal RNA, 1170 nt
Filed under: Prevotella nigrescens
Lineage: Bacteria; Pseudomonadati; Bacteroidota; Bacteroidia; Bacteroidales; Prevotellaceae
Description: bacterial SSU rRNA
Rfam family: Bacterial small subunit ribosomal RNA
Source: RNAcentral